This 441-nucleotide ribosomal RNA is filed under the name uncultured bacterium. Its description in RNAcentral is "partial 16S ribosomal RNA". It matches the Rfam family "Bacterial small subunit ribosomal RNA", at positions 338 to 795 of the family's 1533-position model. The record is from RNAcentral.
CCUACGGGCGGCAGCAGUCGGGAAUAUUGCACAAUGGAGGAAACUCUGACGCAGUGACGCCGCGUGCAGGAAGAAGGUUUUCGGAUUGUAAACUGCUUUAGACAGGGAAGAAGAUAGACAGUAUAUUUAGAAUAAGCUCCGGCGAACUACGUGCCAGCAGCCGCGGUAAUACGGAGGGAGCAAGCGUUGUCCGGAAUUAUUGGGGGUGAAGGGUUCGGAGACGGUGAAGGAAGUUAGUUGUGAAAUCCCUCGGCGUAACCGAGGAAAUGCAACUAAAACUAGUUCCCUUGAGUACUGGAGUGGAAAGUAGAAUUCCUGGUGUAGCGGUGAAAUGCGUAGAGAUUAGGAGGAACACCAGUGGCGAAGGCGACUUUCUGGACAGUAACUGACGUUGAGGUACGAAAGUGUGGGGAGCAAACAGGAUUAGAUACCCGAGUAGUC